GGGGGAAGCUUACAUGCAGUCGAACGGGGAUUACACGGAGAUGCGAUUUCGGUCAAUCAAGUGCAAUCUUAGUGGCGGACGGGUGAGUAACGCGUGGGUAACCUGCCUUGCACUGGGGGAUAACACUUAGAAAUAGGUGCUAAUACCGCAUAAGCGCACGGUCCCGCAUGGGACAGUGUGAAAAACUCCGGUGGUGCAAGAUGGACCCGCGUCUGACUAGCUGGUUGGCGGGGUAAAGGCCCACCAAGGCGACGAUCAGUAGCCGGCCUGAGAGGGUGGACGGCCACAUUGGGACUGAGACACGGCCCAAACUCCUACGGGAGGCAGCAGUGGGGGAUAUUGGACAAUGGGGAACCCUGAUCCAGCGACGCCGCGUGAGUGAAGAAGUAUUUCGGUAUGUAAAGCUCUGUCAGCAGGGAAGAAAGCAAUGACGGUACCUGACCAAGAAGCCCCGGCUAACUACGUGCCAGCAGCCGCGGUAAUACGUAGGGGGCAAGCGUUAUCCGGAAUUACUGGGUGUAAAGGGAGCGUAGACGGCUGUGCAAGUCUGGAGUGAAAGGCGGGGGCCCAACCCCCGGACUGCUCUGGAAACUGUAUGGCUGGAGUGCAGGAGAGGUAAGCGGAAUUCCUAGUGUAGCGGUGAAAUGCGUAGAUAUUAGGAGGAACACCAGUGGCGAAGGCGGCUUACUGGACUGUAACUGACGUUGAGGCUCGAAAGCGUGGGGAGCAAACAGGAUUAGAUACCCUGGU
This 750-nucleotide ribosomal RNA is filed under the name uncultured bacterium. Its description in RNAcentral is "bacterial SSU rRNA". It matches the Rfam family "Bacterial small subunit ribosomal RNA", at positions 42 to 791 of the family's 1533-position model. The record is from RNAcentral.